AAAGGAAUUGACGGGGGCCCGCACAAGCGGUGGAGCAUGUGGUUUAAUUCGACGCAACGCGAAGAACCUUACCAGGGCUUGACAUCCCCUGACAGCGCAUGAAAGUGCGUUUUCUAACUUUCGGGUUAGACAGGGAGACAGGUGGUGCAUGGUUGUCGUCAGCUCGUGUCGUGAGAUGUUGGGUUAAGUCCCGCAACGAGCGCAACCCCUACGUUUAGUUGCUAACAGGUGAAGCUGAGAACUCUAAAGGAACUGCCGUUGACAAAACGGAGGAAGGUGGGGAUGACGUCAAAUCAUCAUGCCCCUUAUGUCCUGGGCUACACACGUGCUACAAUGGCCGGUACAAAGGGCAGCGAAGCUGUGAAGCGGAGCGAAUCCCAAAAAGCCGGUCUCAGUUCGGAUUGCAGGCUGCAAUUCGCCUGCAUGAAGUCGGAAUCGCUAGUAAUCGCAGGUCAGCAUACUGCGGUGAAUACGUUCCCGGGCCUUGUACACACCGCCCGU
RNAcentral lists this ribosomal RNA (501 nucleotides) under uncultured bacterium. Its description in RNAcentral is "bacterial SSU rRNA". It matches the Rfam family "Bacterial small subunit ribosomal RNA", at positions 903 to 1397 of the family's 1533-position model. The record is from RNAcentral.